UGAAUGGGCAGUGAUUUUACCGAGAGGGUAACGAAGGCGUUACGCGCUGGGAAGGAGCUUGUGUACUCGUAGUCAAAGGGAAACCACUCUGCUCUCUAUAUGAAUUAAUUGCCCUUGACAGGAAAAGGUCACGGUCAUUGUGAUGGAAUGCAAAAACACUGCUCGUGUUACAACAGAAAUACACAAAAAAGUUCAGAUAUAUCAAUCGUGGGAGGGAUACAGACAAGUACCGGAUUCCAGAGCCACGAUGUGACAGACAAUGACGAGCGACUGAUGUUUCCAGUACAGUUGACAGCCGGUAUCAUGUCCGGCGAUCUCGGGAUAUUGUACAAGAUUUUUCAGUUCAGUGAUUUAUUAAUAAAGUCGUUAUUGAACCU
Haliotis rufescens (red abalone) is the source of this 377-nucleotide long non-coding RNA. RefSeq lists it as uncharacterized. The transcript is spliced from 2 exons. Lineage: Eukaryota; Metazoa; Mollusca; Gastropoda; Lepetellida; Haliotidae. The record is from RefSeq and is a predicted model, not a curated record.